This 502-nucleotide ribosomal RNA is filed under the name Staphylococcus aureus. Its description in RNAcentral is "partial 23S ribosomal RNA". It matches the Rfam family "Bacterial large subunit ribosomal RNA", at positions 328 to 833 of the family's 2925-position model. The record is from RNAcentral. Lineage: Bacteria; Bacillati; Bacillota; Bacilli; Caryophanales; Staphylococcaceae.
AUUAGACGAAUCAUCUGGAAAGAUGAAUCAAAGAAGGUAAUAAUCCUGUAGUCGAAAAUGUUGUCUCUCUUGAGUGGAUCCUGAGUACGACGGAGCACGUGAAAUUCCGUCGGAAUCUGGGAGGACCAUCUCCUAAGGCUAAAUACUCUCUAGUGACCGAUAGUGAACCAGUACCGUGAGGGAAAGGUGAAAAGCACCCCGGAAGGGGAGUGAAAUAGAACCUGAAACCGUGUGCUUACAAGUAGUCAGAGCCCGUUAAUGGGUGAUGGCGUGCCUUUUGUAGAAUGAACCGGCGAGUUACGAUUUGAUGCAAGGUUAAGCAGUAAAUGUGGAGCCGUAGCGAAAGCGAGUCUGAAUAGGGCGUUUAGUAUUUGGUCGUAGACCCGAAACCAGGUGAUCUACCCUUGGUCAGGUUGAAGUUCAGGUAACACUGAAUGGAGGACCGAACCGACUUACGUUGAAAAGUGAGCGGAUGAACUGAGGGUAGCGGAGAAAUUCCAAU